This 401-nucleotide ribosomal RNA is filed under the name Reticulitermes virginicus (dark southern subterranean termite). RNAcentral's name for it is "partial 16S ribosomal RNA". The record is from RNAcentral. Lineage: Eukaryota; Metazoa; Arthropoda; Insecta; Blattodea; Rhinotermitidae.
AACAUCUUUUCUUGUUAGUUUUUGAAGUAUGGCCUGCCCGCUGACUUUGNGUGUUGAAGGGCCGCGGUAUUUUGACCGUGCAAAGGUAGCAUAGUCAUUAGUUCUUUAAUUGUGAUCUGGUAUGAAUGGCUUGACGAGGCAUGGGCUGUCUUAAUUUUAAAUUGCUUAUUGAAUUUGGUCUUUGAGUUAAAAUUCUUAGAUGUUUUUAUGGGACGAGAAGACCCUAUAGAGUUUGACAUUUANUUNAUGGUCCCUUUNCUNGUUUGUGAGGGUUCACUNGGGCCAUUUAGUAUGUUUUGUUGGGGUGAUGGGAGGGAUAUAAUUUAACCCCUCCUUUGUGUUGUUAUAUUUAUUUAUAUUUGUUUGAUCCAUUUAUUUUGAUUGUAAGAUUAAAUUACCUU